Molecule: non-coding RNA, 29 nt
Filed under: Cricetulus griseus (Chinese hamster)
Lineage: Eukaryota; Metazoa; Chordata; Mammalia; Rodentia; Cricetidae
Source: RNAcentral
GUGAGUUUAAUUAAGUCAAAGUAGAUUUG